GAUGAACGCUGGCGGCGUGCCCAAUACAUGCAAGUCGAGCGAACAGACGAGGAGCUUGCUCCUCUGACGUUAGCGGCGGACGGGUGAGUAACACGUGGAUAACCUACCUAUAAGACUGGGAUAACUUCGGGAAACCGGAGCUAAUACCGGAUAAUAUAUUGAACCGCAUGGUUCAAUAGUGAAAGACGGUUUUGCUGUCACUUAUAGAUGGAUCCGCGCCGCAUUAGCUAGUUGGUAAGGUAACGGCUUACCAAGGCGACGAUGCGUAGCCGACCUGAGAGGGUGAUCGGCCACACGGGAACUGAGACCCGGGCCAGACCCCUAGGGGAGGCAGCAGAGGGGAAUCUCCCGAAAGGGGCGAAAGCGUGACGGAGCAACCCCGGGUGAGUGAUGAAGGGUUUCGGAUCGUAAAACUUUGUUAUUAGGGAAAAAAAAAUGUGUAAGUAACUAUGCACGUCUUGACGGUACCAAAGCAGAAAGCCACGGCAAACUACGG
Molecule: ribosomal RNA, 496 nt
Filed under: uncultured bacterium
Lineage: Bacteria
Description: partial 16S ribosomal RNA
Rfam family: Bacterial small subunit ribosomal RNA
Source: RNAcentral